This 796-nucleotide ribosomal RNA is filed under the name uncultured prokaryote. RNAcentral describes it as "bacterial SSU rRNA". It matches the Rfam family "Bacterial small subunit ribosomal RNA", at positions 666 to 1463 of the family's 1533-position model. The record is from RNAcentral.
AUGCCAGAAGCAGCGAUGAAGUAUGUAUUUAUGGGGAGGAACACCGGGGGAGAAGGCCCCCUCGACCACAAAGACUGAUGCUCUGGUGCGACAGCGUGUGCAGCAAACAGGAUUUGACACCCUGGUAGUCCACGCAGUAAACGAUGUCUACUUGGAGGUUGCGCCCUUGAGGCGCGGCUUCCGGAGCUAACGCGUUAAGUCGACCGCCUGGGGAGUACGGCCGCAAGGUUAAAACUCAAAUGAAUUGACGGGGGCCCGCACAAGCGGUGGAGCAUGUGGUUUAAUUCGAUGCAACGCGAAGAACCUUACCUACUCUUGACAUCCAGAGAACUUUCCAGAGAUGGAUUGGUGCCUUCGGGAACUCUGAGACAGGUGCUGCAUGGCUGUCGUCAGCUCGUGUUGUGAAAUGUUGGGUUAAGUCCCGCAACGAGCGCAACCCUUAUCCUUUGUUGCCAGCGGUCCGGCCGGGAACUCAAAGGAGACUGCCAGUGAUAAACUGGAGGAAGGUGGGGAUGACGUCAAGUCAUCAUGGCCCUUACGAGUAGGGCUACACACGUGCUACAAUGGCGCAUACAAAGAGAAGCGACCUCGCGAGAGCAAGCGGACCUCAUAAAGUGCGUCGUAGUCCGGAUUGGAGUCUGCAACUCGACUCCAUGAAGUCGGAAUCGCUAGUAAUCGUAGAUCAGAAUGCUACGGUGAAUACGUUCCCGGGCCUUGUACACACCGCCCGUCACACCAUGGGAGUGGGUUGCAAAAGAAGUAGGUAGCUUAACCUUCGGGAGGGCGCUACCACUUA